Molecule: ribosomal RNA, 253 nt
Filed under: uncultured bacterium
Lineage: Bacteria
Description: partial 16S ribosomal RNA
Rfam family: Bacterial small subunit ribosomal RNA
Source: RNAcentral
UACGGGGGGGGCAAGCGUUGUUCGGAAUUACUGGGCGUAAAGGGCUCGUAGGCGGCCAACUAAGUCAGACGUGAAAUCCCUCGGCUUAACCGGGGAACUGCGUCUGAUACUGUCGGGCUUGAGUACGGGAGAGGCGAGUGGAAUUCCUGGUGUAGCGGUGAAAUGCGCAGAUAUCAGGAGGAACACCGAUUGCGAAGGCAGCUCGCUGGAACGUUACUGACGCUGAGACGCGAAAGCGUGGGGAGCAAACAGG